GAGGCACUAGUAAAAAAAUUACCUUGUCUUGUCGAGACAAAAUUGUGGGUUAAACCCCCACGUGCCUUA
RNAcentral lists this transfer RNA (69 nucleotides) under Coilia lindmani (Lindman's grenadier anchovy). RNAcentral describes it as "tRNA-Asp". Lineage: Eukaryota; Metazoa; Chordata; Actinopteri; Clupeiformes; Engraulidae. The record is from RNAcentral.